Salvia splendens (bonfire salvia) is the source of this 109-nucleotide small nucleolar RNA. Lineage: Eukaryota; Viridiplantae; Streptophyta; Magnoliopsida; Lamiales; Lamiaceae. The record is from RefSeq and is a predicted model, not a curated record.
UUUGGCAGUGAUGAUUAGAUUACUAAUCCCAGCUCUAUGAGACCUUUGUUUUGUGCGAGGGUCAGGGACAAUACUUUUUCGCACGUCUCGUCUGUCUGAGCCACUCAAU